AACAGGUUAAUAUUCCUGUACUUGGUGUUACUGCGAAGGGGGGACGGAGAAGGCUAUGUUAGCCGGGCGACGGUUGUCCCGGUUUAAGCAUGUAGGCUGGUUAUCCAGGCAAACCCGGAUAAUCAAGGCUGAGGUGUGAUGACAAGGCACUACGGUGCUGAAGUAACAAAUGCCCUGCUUCCAGGAAAAGCCUCUAAGCAUCAGGUAACAUCAAAUCGUACCCCAAACCGACACAGGUGGUCAGGUAGAGAAUACCAAGGCGCUUGAGAGAACUCGGGUGAAGGAACUAGGCAAAAUGGUGCCGUAACUUC
This 311-nucleotide ribosomal RNA is filed under the name Klebsiella pneumoniae. RNAcentral describes it as "bacterial LSU rRNA". It matches the Rfam family "Bacterial large subunit ribosomal RNA", at positions 1424 to 1737 of the family's 2925-position model. Lineage: Bacteria; Pseudomonadati; Pseudomonadota; Gammaproteobacteria; Enterobacterales; Enterobacteriaceae. The record is from RNAcentral.